RNAcentral lists this ribosomal RNA (400 nucleotides) under uncultured bacterium. RNAcentral describes it as "bacterial SSU rRNA". It matches the Rfam family "Bacterial small subunit ribosomal RNA", at positions 975 to 1375 of the family's 1533-position model. The record is from RNAcentral.
CUACCUUUGAAUCCACGGAAUCUUGCAGAGAUGUGAGAGUGCCUUCGGGAACCGUGAGACAGGUGCUGCAUGGCUGUCGUCAGCUCGUGUCGUGAGAUGUUGGGUUAAGUCCCGUAACGAGCGCAACCCUUGUCCUUAGUUACCAACGAGUAAAGUCGGGGACUUUAAGGAGACUGCCGGUGAUAAACCGGAGGAAGGUGGGGAUGACGUCAAGUCCUCAUGGCCCUUACAGGUAGGGCUACACACGUGCUACAAUGGUCGGUACAGAGGGUCGCCAACCCGCGAGGGGGAGCUAAUCUCAGAAAGCCGAUCGUAGUCCGGAUUGGAGUCUGCAACUCGACUCCAUGAAGCUGGAAUCGCUAGUAAUCGCGGAUCAGCACGCCGCGGUGAAUACGUUCCC